UUCCCAGGUGGUAGAAUUAAAGG
RNAcentral lists this non-coding RNA (23 nucleotides) under Cricetulus griseus (Chinese hamster). Lineage: Eukaryota; Metazoa; Chordata; Mammalia; Rodentia; Cricetidae. The record is from RNAcentral.